This 268-nucleotide unclassified non-coding RNA is filed under the name Hevea brasiliensis (rubber tree). The record is from RNAcentral. Lineage: Eukaryota; Viridiplantae; Streptophyta; Magnoliopsida; Malpighiales; Euphorbiaceae.
GAAGGUUAUGGAGGAAAAAAGAAUUAUGUAAGUUAAUAUAACGUGUUAUCGAUUAUGUUCUGCUCUUCAUUAUAGAGUUGAGUAAUGUGAUGGUCUAGGUUGUCUCUGUAUGAGAUACCCAUUUUAGUGAAUCAUUUGAUGCCCAACAACAUAUGUUGUCACUGUUGUUUGACACUUACAGUGUGUUUGGACUUUGGAUGAAAUGUACGAGGUUUUUUUGAAGGUUAAUGGGAAAAACUGGGGCUUUUGAAGGUUUUAAAACCUUCAA